UACGAAGGGGGCUAGCGUUGUUCGGAAUGACUGGGCGUAAAGCGCACGCAGGCGGCGCGUCAAGUCAGAGGUGAAAGGCCCGGGCUCAACCUGGGAACUGCCUUUGAGACUGACGUGCUAGAGACCGAGAGAGGGUAGUGGAAUUCCCAGUGUAGAGGUGAAAUUCGUAGAUAUUGGGAAGAACACCGGUGGCGAAGGCGGCUACCUGGCUCGGUUCUGACGCUCAGGUGCGAAAGCGUGGGGAGCAAACAGG
This 253-nucleotide ribosomal RNA is filed under the name uncultured bacterium. RNAcentral's name for it is "partial 16S ribosomal RNA". It matches the Rfam family "Bacterial small subunit ribosomal RNA", at positions 524 to 776 of the family's 1533-position model. The record is from RNAcentral.